This 243-nucleotide ribosomal RNA is filed under the name uncultured bacterium. RNAcentral's name for it is "partial 16S ribosomal RNA". It matches the Rfam family "Bacterial small subunit ribosomal RNA", at positions 527 to 769 of the family's 1533-position model. The record is from RNAcentral.
GUAGGGGGCAAGCGUUAUCCGGAUUUACUGGGUGUAAAGGGAGCGUAGACGGAAGAGCAAGUCUGAUGUGAAAGGCUGGGGCUUAACCCCAGGACUGCAUUGGAAACUGUUUUUCUAGAGUGCCGGAGAGGUAAGCGGAAUUCCUAGUGUAGCGGUGAAAUGCGUAGAUAUUAGGAGGAACACCAGUGGCGAAGGCGGCUUACUGGACGGUAACUGACGUUGAGGCUCGAAAGCGUGGGGAGC